CUUUAAUCUGUGACAAUUUGGUGUAAAAACACACAUUUUAUUCCGUAAAUCUGGAAUUGGGUAACAUUUUCCAAGGGUUUCCCUUUUUAGGCCAAAAUAACUAAAAUAUAGAACCGUUUGUAUUUUUAUUUUUUCCAUUUUAUCUAUAUUGUCCUAAAAUUUGCAAUUCUCUUCUCAGUUUCCCAGAAUUCACUGAGUAAACCCAGGGAGCGGCCAUCUUUGGAUGGACAAAGUCCACUUGUAACCAUAUUUUUGCUUUUGUUGACUGUGAAUACGUUUGCUAAGAAUUCUCCUGUUUAAACAAACCAUACUAGCCAAUACUAAG
Pelobates cultripes (western spadefoot toad) is the source of this 325-nucleotide non-coding RNA. The record is from the annotation of a GenBank genome assembly. NCBI's taxonomy places the organism in Eukaryota, Metazoa, Chordata, Amphibia, Anura, Pelobatidae.